This 214-nucleotide ribosomal RNA is filed under the name Gallinago gallinago (common snipe). RNAcentral describes it as "partial 16S ribosomal RNA". The record is from RNAcentral. Lineage: Eukaryota; Metazoa; Chordata; Aves; Charadriiformes; Scolopacidae.
UGUGGAACUUAAAAAUCAGUAGCCACUGCUCACAAACUAUAAACCUAAUAGGCCCACUAACUAAAAAUGCUGGCUCACAUUUUUUGGUUGGGGCGACCUUGGAGAAAAGACAAUCCUCCAAAAACAAGACCAUACCUCUUAACCAAGAGCAACAUCUCAACGUACUAACAGUAACCAGACCCAAUAUAAUUGAUAAAUGGACCAAGCUACCCCA